CCUACGGGCGGCAGCAGUGGGGAAUAUUGGACAAUGGGGGCAACCCUGAUCCAGCCAUGCCGCGUGUGUGAAGAAGGCCCUCGGGUUGUAAAGCACUUUCAGUGAGGAAGAACGCCUGGUGGUUAAUACCCAUCAGGAAAGACAUCACUCACAGAAGAAGCACCGGCUAACUCCGUGCCAGCAGCCGCGGUAAUACGGAGGGCGCGAGCGUUAAUCGGAAUUACUGGGCGUAAAGCGCGCGUAGGUGGCUUGAUAAGCCGGUUGUGAAAGCCCCGGGCUCAACCUGGGAACGGCAUCCGGAACUGUCAAGCUAGAGUGCAGGAGAGGAAGGUAGAAUUCCCGGUGUAGCGGUGAAAUGCGUAGAGAUCGGGAGGAAUACCAGUGGCGAAGGCGGCCUUCUGGACUGACACUGACACUGAGGUGCGAAAGCGUGGGUAGCAAACAGGAUUAGAUACCCCAGUAGUC
Molecule: ribosomal RNA, 465 nt
Filed under: Vreelandella stevensii
Lineage: Bacteria; Pseudomonadati; Pseudomonadota; Gammaproteobacteria; Oceanospirillales; Halomonadaceae
Description: partial 16S ribosomal RNA
Rfam family: Bacterial small subunit ribosomal RNA
Source: RNAcentral